AGAUCCUCGGGAGGCAGCAGUGGGGAAUAUUGCACAAUGGGGGAAACCCUGAUGCAGCAACGCCGCGUGAGUGAAGAAGUAUUUCGGUAUGUAAAGCUCUAUCAGCAGGGAAGAAAUUGACAGUACCUCAGGAGGAAGCUCCGGCUAACUAUGUGCCAGCAGCCGCGGUAAUACAUAGGGAGCAAGCGUUAUCCGGAUUUAUUGGGUGUAAAGGGUGCGUAGACGGGAAAUUAAGUUAGUUGUGAAAUCCCUCGGCUUAACUGAGGAACUGCAACUAAAACUGAUUUUCUUGAGUACUGGAGAGG
Molecule: ribosomal RNA, 305 nt
Filed under: uncultured bacterium
Lineage: Bacteria
Description: bacterial SSU rRNA
Rfam family: Bacterial small subunit ribosomal RNA
Source: RNAcentral